Cyanistes caeruleus (blue tit) is the source of this 5431-nucleotide RNA transcript. It is a transcript of the gene named phosphopantothenoylcysteine decarboxylase, with no coding region annotated. NCBI's taxonomy places the organism in Eukaryota, Metazoa, Chordata, Aves, Passeriformes, Paridae. The record is from RefSeq and is a predicted model, not a curated record.
CGCGGCCCUCAGGCCCCUCACGCCCCCCCGGCCCUACCUCGAACGGUACCGGAGCGCUGUUUGGUGCCUUCUGAGAGCCCCCGGGGCUUCUCGGUGCUGCUGUGAGGCCUUCUGGGGCCGAAAUCAGCAUCGCUGCCGCAUUAAAAGUCGAUUUCAUUAACCCUUGAGGGCCUGUAAAUUGCUUGUUUUCUGGUGGCUGCUUCCCCACAGCUGUUUGGUUGGAUUGGAGCAUGGAGCCCAUCUCCCUGCCAGAACCAGGCAUGUCUGCAGGAAACAGCUCAUCUGUGGCACAGCAGAAAUUCCAUGUGCUGGUGGGAGUGACUGGAAGCGUGGCUGCCCUCAAGCUGCCCCUGCUCGUGUCAGAAUUGCUGAAAAUCCCUGGGCUCGAGGUGAAGGUGGUCACUACUGAGAGAGCAAAACAUUUCUACAAUGCCCAGGAGAUUCCUGUUACCCUCUAUGGCGAUGAAGAGGAGUGGCAGCUGUGGAAGGGCCGCUCAGACCCCGUCCUGCACAUUGAGCUCCGGCGCUGGGCUGACCUCAUGGUGGUGGCACCUCUGGACGCCAACACGCUGGCAAAGGUCGCCAAUGGCAUCUGUGACAACCUGCUGACUUGUGUCAUCCGCGCGUGGGACCUGAGCAAACCCCUGCUCUUCUGCCCAGCCAUGAAUACGGCCAUGUGGGAGCAUCCCAUCACAGCUCGGCAGGUGGAGCAGCUGAAGGGCUUUGGUUACACGGAGAUCCCCUGUGUGGUGAAGAAACUGGUGUGUGGAGAUGAAGGCACUGAAAAUUGCUGCGUGGGAAGAGACGUGUCUGAAGGUGAUGAAUGGCUUUGCUAUGUCUGCCAAGCAGAAGUUUUCUUUUGAUGGGCACCAAAACACCUGGGCUUGCCCUUCCUGGCUGGAAGAGUGAAAUUCCCUAAAACAGCUCACAAAUACAGGCCAAAUCAGUAGUUUCAGGAGAAAAAGAGGAAGGCUGAAGGUGCCACUGCAGAGGAGGGGAGAGGCCAGGCUCAGCAGCCUGAGCUGGUUCUUCAAGGCAUUCCAGCCCCAGCAGCAUCCCAUGGUGAGAAGUUCCCUGGAUGAAUGUGCAGCCUUAACUCACCUCUGCCAGGGCAGGGACCUGGCAGUGGAGCAUCACCAGUAAUUUUCCACCCAUCUGCACGCUGUGGAAAUACACCCAGGCAUGGAAAAAGCCUAGAAGGGAAUAAAGAAGACACUUGGCCAGUAGAGCUUGGCUGGCUCCCAGCUCAAGGAAAAGCUUCAGGUUCAUCCCCAGCUCUCCAGUGCUUGGCAGGCUCGGCUGCCUCAGCUUCUACAAACGGGACAGGCCAGCAGCAUCCCUGCCAAAACCCCGGGUGCUCCCACUCCAACGGCUCCCUGUGCCCACGGGUUUGCUGCAAGACAGAAAUGGGGGAAAGUUGCCUUUUUGUGGGGUUUGGUUGGGAUUUUUUCCUUCUUCUCCCCGCGGAGAAAAGGAGAAGGAAAUACUUGGCAUGGAGGGCGGAGAGAGGGGGAGGUUGGGGACAGCGUGGAUGUGGUGGUGGGAGAUGAGCGGUCCCUUAAUGAGACUCUAAUUACUCCAGCCAAGAUCCACAUUAGCCCGAUGAGGUUUUUACGAGGGCAGUAAGAUGUCCCAGCCUGCCGGGGCGGUGAUUGCGGCCUCGGGCUCUCCGAGGAGCCGCUGGUGCUCCUGCUGCAAUUCGAUUCCAGCUCGGCAAGAGUGGCCGGCUCGUUUCCCAACCUCGCGGUACUAAUCCCUUGUACCUCAGUGGUGCAGCAAUAACCCCCGGAGCCACCACCGCCUCUCACUGCCGGCGGCUGCAGAGCACAAGAUGUUCCUAGACAAGGCUCCUCACACCCUGUGCAGCCCGGCAAACAAGGGCGGCUUCCCAAAUCCCACCAGCAUCCUGCCCCCAGCAGCUUUCCAUUGAAAACACCCUCAAAGAGUCGCUGUCCCCAGCCCACUUCCUUGAAAACUCAGGUUGCUGUGAAAACAGUGGUGAAACAGGCUGGGAAGAGGGCAUCAAGGGCAGACGUGACCGAGGUCUGUGAUAUCCUGAUGAGUCCAGAGAAGAUAAGUGAUGAGAGGGUGAUGACUCGCUGCCUCUUGUGCAAAACCCAGGACCAGCAUGUCCAAAGGAUUUUUCUCCUUAGGACUUCUCCUGACACAGGAGGAUGAAGACAGAUUCAAAAAGCAAUUCCUGGGAGAGGAAGCCCCCCAGGACACCAAGACCAUCUCCAGCUCACUCUGCUGAAGUGUAGAAGCUCACUGAGGUCUGAUGUUUUCCUGGGAUCCUCUGCUUCAGCUGAUGGUUGUGGAGGAAGAAAACCCAUCAGCGAGGUGUUGCUCCCACAUCCAAGGGACAGGGUAGCAGUCAGUUCCUGGGGACAGACUGGCCAAGGGUUGGCCAAGCUCCAGGGUCAGGACUGGCAGGCAGGAGCAGGAGCAGGAGCAGGAGCAGGAGCAGGAGCAGGAGCAGGAGCAGGAGCAGGAGGGGGUUAUGUGGUGGAGGUGGACAUGAAGAAAACAAGAUAUCCCCAUUCCCAAGGCUGCUGAAGGAAGCUGGAGACACCAGGAUUUAACCCCAUGGGAAGAAUGAGUCAGUCACAGGGAUGACCACAAGGUUCUGUUAUCACAAGGAUCUGUUAUUGGUGGAAAAUCUAUCUCAUGAGGGCAUCAAAGGUAGAUCCUUGUGUGCCAAAAGGAGGGGAGAAGGGGAGAAAAAGAGGACAAAGAUCCUCUGUGUCAGACAAGGAGAGUUCUGUGGCCCCCAGCCCCUCUGUGACGGUGCAGGAGGAGGUUCAAAGCCCCAGGUCCUUCCAUUUGAGAGCUUCUUCAGCCCAUCCUGGCAGCCCAAGGGUUGGGGGAGCGGGGAGGGGAAGGUCUCACUCUCUGACAUCACCACGGAGCCCCAAGCUGGGCCCAGCGUGUGUUACUCACCUUGAAACUAUGUGAGUAAACAGAGAAGGCUCCUCUUCCCAGUCCCACCUCAGCAAUUAGGCUGCAGACCAAAUCCACCCCGGCAGAUCACAGAUCACGGGGAUGCUCUGCUCUCUCUGGUGAGUCCUCAAGCCAAGCUACCCAGGAGAGGACGAUGGUGAAGCUCUAGUUGGCCUCCAGGCCCAUCCCCUCCUAUAUGGAGCUUCUUGGAGAUGUCCCACCAGGAGGAAAGCAGCCCUUUCCUGUUACUUAUGGUGUUUUUAUAGUGUAUCACCAUUUUUUGUGGCUGAGCAGCAGCGACACUCAUGGCUCACUCUGACAUGGGGGAAGUGGAGCCAGCUGGGAAGAGCCCUGUUGAGAGACUUGACACCAGCUAGGAGGAAGAAGAGAUGAUCCCACAGGAAAGGGACCUCCCUGCUAGCACAGCAAAAGCCUCUGAGCUCCAGGGAUUUUGUGGGCACCACUGCAGCCAUGAGUCCCAUUGGAUCCUGAUGCCAUCCACCUUGGUCCUUGGGCCACAGAGGCUUGGCUCUUCUCUGUGGAAAACCUUCAUCCAUCUUGGUAUCCUCUUCCCCACCAGUGCCUAGAGGAAGAGGAGAGACCACCCUGGUCCACCCUAUAGGGAAGAGAGCAGCCUCCAGAGCAGGACUGGAGCCAGCCCAGAGCCAGGGAGCCUUGCAGAGGGCUGAAGCCUUUCCAGGACUGACAGUGGUUUCUGCAGGCAGGAGAGGGAAUAAAAUGGUCAGAUUCCUCACAAUUCCAUGCCUGUCCUCCCACACAGAGUGAAGGAAUGUGGGAGAUACCGCAGCAAUGCCAUGCAAAUACCCUGGAGAGGUGAACCUACUCCUGACCCCAGCUAGGGAGAGAACAAAAACUGUUUUAAAGACUUUUAGAGCAUCUUGAUGCAUCCGUGGCAGGCUGGUAGGCACUGGAUGGCUGGGAGGCAGCUGAUGGGUCAAUAGCCUGAAGGAGCACUGAACACAGGGACAUCAGAGAGAACUGGUGGAGACAGAGCCUUGUAGCCAUUCCCACACUGGAAAUCAUGUAGAAAUAAAUAAAUUAACCAUUCCAGAGCUUUAGGUACAGGCAGCAUCAUCUGUGCUGGCACAGAUGCAGGGAUUCUCUUUGGGAGUGAGGCCACAGAUGGGAGGAGAAGGGGAAGAAGGUCCAUGUGUUGCUGAGGUUCAAACCAGGUGACCUCAAGCAGAGCAGAAAAAGGAGGGGGGAAAUAAAAAGAGGUAAUAAAUGGCAGCUUCCUCAGGUUGAUCCCUUGUAAGGCUUACUCAGAGUUACAUCAUGGUGCUUAUUAGGAUGCAGAUCCCUGAGAGCCACAGCUCCAGAGCCUCUGGAAGGAUCCCUGGGGAUGUGAGGCCCCCUGGCCAGCAGCCAGGGCAUUAGGGAUGGCACCCCAGACCCAGCUGUGCCACGAAGGGACUUGGCUUCCUUUCGGAGCCCAGAGAAGUGAGGGGUGUUGGGGCACGGGGCAGGCUCCUGUCUGUGCUCAUCCCGCUGUUCCUGUGGCUGGGACCGCACAGCUGCUGCUGGCCGGAGCAGAGGGCAGCUCGCCAGCUUCCCUGGCUCGGCUGUCAGCACACCCAGGGCUCUGCCAAGACCACAGCUCUAUUCCUCACCACACAGCACUGAGCAAGGUGCUUUCCCUGCCCUGGCUGCUCUCUUCUCUGAACCGGGAAUGCUGGGGUGUCUCUGGAGGUGCCCAAGGAACAAACCUGGCUAGGGGGCUGCUUGCCAGUGGAAGGGCAGGAUGCAGAGGUGGGUCUCACAGGGGAAUCCCAGCCCAGGAAUCUCUGCUCCUGGGUGUGAGAUUCCUGCUAAAGGCCUUCUCUCAUGCCCCAGGAUGCUCCUGAUGCUGGUGAGAAACUGUGCUGUGAGACUGGCCUGGAUGUUCCGUGGGUAUCCAUCCUUGGCUUUGGGGGUGUUUCCUUUCUGCAGACAGGGAGCAGAUGAGCCACUCCAGUGCCUGCAUCCGGCAGAUAAUCCUGCUGAGAGUGGGGAGCGUGUCAGGAGCAUCCCCAGCACUGCCACUGUCCCAGGACUUCCCACAGAGGGAGCAUCCAAAUGUGCCAAGCUUAGCAAGUCCGGCCGUGGAAUUCAGCGCUGGAGCCAUGGACUCCAGGCCCACAUCCCGAUGCACAAGGGGCUUUCCUCAGCUUUGGGUUUGAUGCCUCAGCAAGGACCUGUUCAGACCAUCUGAAUCUCUAAGGCAGAGAUGAACCACAUGGGAAGUUGAGACAGAAGGAAAAAGAACGAAACAUCAGCUUUCAGAGUCCAGCUGGAUGCCUGGCAGCAGGGAUAUGGCCAAACCAGGAUGAGGAAAGGUGUUUCUCAAUUGAUAUAAAUGUAUGAGCCAACUCAAGCUUAAAGGGAUUGUCUGCCAUUUCAAGGGAAUUCUCAUUCUGUUCAGUGAGGUAAAAAUGAACACUGGUAGUUUUAAUGCCCUUAACUCGAAAUAAAAAGCUGUAUUAUCCUCCCA